GGAGAGAUGUCCGAGUUGGCCGAAGGAGCACGAUUGGAAAUCGUGUGUACCCCCAUAAGGGGUACCGAGGGUUCGAAUCCCUCUCUCUCCGCCA
This 94-nucleotide transfer RNA is filed under the name bacterium. Its description in RNAcentral is "tRNA-Ser". It matches the Rfam family "tRNA". Rfam says of the family: Transfer RNA (tRNA) molecules are approximately 80 nucleotides in length. Their secondary structure includes four short double-helical elements and three loops (D, anti-codon, and T loops). RNAcentral also lists the same sequence under 2 other names. The record is from RNAcentral.